Danio aesculapii is the source of this 250-nucleotide long non-coding RNA. RefSeq lists it as uncharacterized. Lineage: Eukaryota; Metazoa; Chordata; Actinopteri; Cypriniformes; Danionidae. The transcript is spliced from 3 exons. The record is from RefSeq and is a predicted model, not a curated record.
CUGAGGACACUCCAGAGUAGUAAUUGUCAUUGUGGACUCCAGCAGGUCUACAUGUUCUGUUAAGAGACUGGAUUCUGAGAGCGAGAUCCUGUGAAGUGUUCAUCAAAGCUGAAGAGAAGAACUGCAUCUGUAUGCUGUGAAGUGAGUCCAGAUGCUACAGACACAGAAAAAGAUGCCGCAAUGGAGGAACACAGCAAGCACCUUCCAGGAAGAGCUGAAGAAUAUUAGAAAUAAAGACUCUAAAAUAACA